Molecule: ribosomal RNA, 434 nt
Filed under: uncultured Ruminococcus sp.
Lineage: Bacteria; Bacillati; Bacillota; Clostridia; Eubacteriales; Oscillospiraceae
Description: partial 16S ribosomal RNA
Rfam family: Bacterial small subunit ribosomal RNA
Source: RNAcentral
ACGGAAGGCAGCAGUGGGGAAUAUUGCACAAUGGGCGCGAGCUUGAUGCAGCGAUGCCGCGUGAGGGAAGAAGGUUUUCGGAUUGUAAACCUCUGUCAACAGGGACGAAAAUGACGGUACCUGUGAAGGAAGCUCCGGCUAACUACGUGCCAGCAGCCGCAGUAAUACGUAGGGAGCAAGCGUUAUCCGGAAUUACUGGGUGUAAAGGGAGUGUAGGCGGGACUGUAAGUCAGAUGUGAAAUAUGCCGGCUCAACUGGCAGACUGCAUUUGAAACUGCGGUUCUUGAGUGAAGUAGAGGUAAGCGGAAUUCCUAGUGUAGCGGUGAAAUGCGUAGAUAUUAGGAGGAACAUCAGUGGCGAAGGCGGCUUACUGGGCUUUAACUGACGCUGAGGCUCGAAAGCGUGGGGAGCAAACAGGAUUAGAUACCCUGGUA